Molecule: transfer RNA, 67 nt
Filed under: Electrophorus voltai
Lineage: Eukaryota; Metazoa; Chordata; Actinopteri; Gymnotiformes; Gymnotidae
Description: tRNA-Cys
Rfam family: tRNA
About the family: Transfer RNA (tRNA) molecules are approximately 80 nucleotides in length. Their secondary structure includes four short double-helical elements and three loops (D, anti-codon, and T loops). Further hydrogen bonds mediate the characteristic L-shaped molecular structure. tRNAs have two regions of fundamental functional importance: the anti-codon, which is responsible for specific mRNA codon recognition, and the 3' end, to which the tRNAs corresponding amino acid is attached (by aminoacyl-tRNA synthetases). tRNAs cope with the degeneracy of the genetic code in two manners: having more than one tRNA (with a specific anti-codon) for a particular amino acid; and 'wobble' base-pairing, i.e. permitting non-standard base-pairing at the 3rd anti-codon position.
Source: RNAcentral
GAUCCCGUAGUGAAAAUCAUAUUAGAUUGCAAAUCUAAAGAGGUAGGUUCAUUCCCUGCCGGGAUCU